UAACAAAAACAUGUCCUUUUGAAUAAUAAUUUAAGGUUGGCUCUGCCCUCUGAGUUACUACUUUAAAGGCUGCAGUAUCCUGACUGUGCAAAGGUAGCAAAAUCAUUUGCUUCUUAAUUAGAAGCUGGAAUGAACGAGUUGAUGAGAUAUAAUCUGUCUCAGUUUAGUAUAAUGAACUUGAAUUUUGAGUUAAAAUGCUCAAAUUCUAUUAUUAGACGAUAAGACCCUGUAGAAUUUUACAUUAAUUAACUUACUUACUUCUUACUUGAUUCUUAAAUUUAAGUAGUUUUUGAUGUUUGGUUGGGAGGACUAUUAAAUUAGAUUAACUUUAAUAAUUGUGUACACAAUAAUUUUUGAUUAAGUGAUUUUUUAAUAAUUAUUAGAUAAAAUUACCUCAGGGAUAACAGCGUAAUACUUCUGGAGAGGUCUUAUCGAUAGAAGUGAUUGCGACCUCGAUGUUGAAUUAAGAUAAAAACUAGGCGUAGAAUUUUAGUAUUUAAGU
Molecule: ribosomal RNA, 502 nt
Filed under: Phymatothynnus sp. W122
Lineage: Eukaryota; Metazoa; Arthropoda; Insecta; Hymenoptera; Thynnidae
Description: partial 16S ribosomal RNA
Rfam family: Bacterial large subunit ribosomal RNA
Source: RNAcentral